CCUACGGGGUGCUGCAGUGGGGAAUAUUGCACAAUGGGGGAAACCCUGAUGCAGCGACGCCGCGUGAGUGAAGAAGUAUUUCGGUACGUAAAGCUCUAUCAGCAGGGAAGAAAAUGACGGUACCUGACUAAGAAGCCCCGGCUAACUACGUGCCAGCAGCCGCGGUAAUCCGUAGGGGGCCAGCGUUAUCCGGAUUUACUGGGUGUAAGGGAGCGUUGACGGGGAUGCAAGUCUGAAGUGAAAGGCGGGGGCCCAACCCCCGGACUGCGUUGGAAACUGUAUGGCUGGAGUGGGGGAGAGGUAAGUGGAAUUCCUAGUGUAGCGGUGAAAUGCAUAGAUAUUAGGAGGAACACCAGUGGCGAAGGCAGCUUACUGGACUGUAACUGACGUUGAGGCUCGAAAGCGUGGGGAGCAAACAGGAUUAGAUACCCCUGUAGUC
This 439-nucleotide ribosomal RNA is filed under the name uncultured bacterium. Its description in RNAcentral is "partial 16S ribosomal RNA". It matches the Rfam family "Bacterial small subunit ribosomal RNA", at positions 338 to 795 of the family's 1533-position model. The record is from RNAcentral.